GACGAACGCUGGCGGCGUGCUUAACACAUGCAAGUCGAACGGAAAGGCCCUGCUUUUGUGGGGUGCUCGAGUGGCGAACGGGUGAGUAACACGUGAGUAACCUGCCCUUGACUUUGGGAUAACUUCAGGAAACUGGGGCUAAUACCGGAUAGGAGCUCCUGCUGCCUGGUGGGGGUUGGAAAGUUUCGGCGGUUGGGGAUGGACUCGCGGCUUAUCAGCUUGUUGGGGGGGUAGUGGCUUACCAAGGCUUUGACGGGUAGCCGGCCUGAGAGGGUGACCGGCCACAUUGGGACUGAGAUACGGCCCAGACUCCUACGGGAGGCAGCAGUGGGGAAUAUUGCACAAUGGGCGGAAGCCUGAUGCAGCAACGCCGCGUGCGGGAUGACGGCCUUCGGGUUGUAAACCGCUUUCGCCUGUGACGAAGCGGGAGUGACGGUAAUGGGUAAAGAAGCACCGGCUAACUACGUG
RNAcentral lists this ribosomal RNA (468 nucleotides) under uncultured bacterium. RNAcentral describes it as "partial 16S ribosomal RNA". It matches the Rfam family "Bacterial small subunit ribosomal RNA", at positions 28 to 507 of the family's 1533-position model. The record is from RNAcentral.